AGCGAACGUUCGCGGCGGGCUUAACACAUGCAAGUCGAACGCGAAAGGGAUUCGUCCCCGGUAGCGUGGCGUCCGGGUGAGUAACACGUAGGAAACCUUCCUUCGAGCGGGGGAUAACGUCCCGAAAGGGACGCUAAUACCGCAUAUGCCCACGUCGUCUUCGGACGAUGAGGGGAAAGCUGGCCUCUGUAUACAAGCUAGCACUCGAGAAUGGUCCUGCGGCGCAUCAGCUAGUUGGUGGGGUAACGGCCUACCAAGGCGAAGACGCGUAGCUGGUCUGAGAGGAUGAUCAGCCACACUGGCACUGAAACACGGGCCAGACUCCUACGGGAGGCAGCAGUGGGGAAUAUUGGACAAUGGGCGCAAGCCUGAUCCAGCCACGCCGCGUGAGUGAUGAAGGCCUUCGGGUUGUAAAAGCUCUGUGGGGAGGGACGAAAACGGCCAGUAAGAAACGACUGGUCCUUGACGGUACCUCCUUAGCAAGCACCGGCUAACUCUGUGCCAGCAGCCGCGGUAAUACAGAGGGUGCGAACGUUGCUCGGAAUUACUGGGCGUAAAAGCGCGUGUAGGCGGAUUGCUAAGUCGGGCGUGAAAUCCUCAGGCUCAACCUGGGAACUGCGCUCGAAACUGGCAGUCUCGAGUAUCGGAGAGGGUGGCGGAAUUCCUGGUGUAGAGGUGAAAUUCGUAGAUAUCAGGAGGAACACCGGUGGCGAAGGCGGCCACCUGGACGAUUACUGACGCUGAGACGCGAAAGCGUGGGGAGCAAACAGGAUUAGAU
Molecule: ribosomal RNA, 778 nt
Filed under: uncultured bacterium
Lineage: Bacteria
Description: bacterial SSU rRNA
Rfam family: Bacterial small subunit ribosomal RNA
Source: RNAcentral